This 433-nucleotide ribosomal RNA is filed under the name uncultured bacterium. RNAcentral describes it as "partial 16S ribosomal RNA". It matches the Rfam family "Bacterial small subunit ribosomal RNA", at positions 29 to 507 of the family's 1533-position model. The record is from RNAcentral.
AACGAACGCUGGCGGCAUGCCUAACACAUGCAAGUCGAACGAGGCCUUCGGGUCUAGUGGCGCACGGGUGCGUAACGCGUGGGAACCUGCCCUUAGGUUUGGAAUAACUCCCCGAAAGGGGUGCUAAUACCGGAUAAUGUCUUCGGACCAAAGAUUUAUCGCCUUUGGAUGGGCCCGCGUUGGAUUAGCUAGUUGGUAGGGUAAAAGCCUACCAAGGCGACGAUCCAUAGCUGGUCUGAGAGGAUGAUCAGCCACACUGGGACUGAGACACGGCCCAGACUCCUACGGGAGGCAGCAGUGGGGGAUAUUGGACAAUGGGCGAAAGCCUGAUCCAGCAAUGCCGCGUGAGUGAUGAAGGCCUUAGGGUUGUAAAGCUCUUUUACCCGGGAUGAUAAUGACAGUACCGGGAGAAUAAGCUCCGGCUAACUCCGUG